AUGUCUCUUCAUUUCUGAGCCAUCUAUACACUUUAUACUUGCAAAAUCUUAUUAGGGCAUUAGCUGAGGAUGUUUUAGUGCAUUAGAAGGAAACAAUCAACUAGAGAGUGUAAUAUAAUUUCCGUACAGGGUAGUUCUCUGUUUACUGUCACUGGAGUGGUUAACUGGGAAUGUAUUUGUGACAGUAGCAGCCCAGGGCCCUGUGCUGCAGCUAAAAUGGUCAGUGAGUCUGCCAGAAGAGGUGGACCUGCCAAAAGGGGUGGUCCUGCCCACUUUUGUCCUUGGCCAUGUUCUCACUCUGCUCAGUGAGGCAGCAGCCAGCAGGUGAGUGUGUUCAGACUGCUGAGCCAGCAGAAAACUAUUACUGCAACUAAAACUGAAAGGCUUUCCACCAGAUCAGCCAGGUGAAUCCAGCACCUUAUAGCUCUGUGUGGCUGGAUCCAACCCUGGUGAAAGGGACAAUGAGGGGAUGGGACUCCUUGUUUUCAAGGCAUCUUGCUUACAGGUAGAUUACAGGCUGUCUCUAACUUGAAACUAAAUUAAACACCUUGUCCAGGAUCACAGAGGAAAUCUGCAGCACAGCAGGGAACUGAAUCAGGUUUUCAAGUCCAAGCCAAUGUCCAGAGCAGGGUACCUGCCUUGUUCUCACUGUGGGAGCUGAAAAGGGACCCCCCUCAGUUCACUUGAUCCAUUCUCCUGCUCACUCUGAGCAUGGUGGAAAGGACACACUCCAUUGCUGCCCAGAUGCCUCUGCCUGGGACUAGACUAGACUAAUUUCCUGGGCUGUCUAAAGGCUCCAACAUCGCUAAUGCCUGUGGGAGCAUGGAUCUGGGGGCUGCAGGCUCUGGGGCUAGCAGGUCACAACAGAGUGAGGAGGGACAUGAGAACAGCAAUGUUUUCUAAAAGUCAACUUUUUGUGUGUGUUUUUGUUUUUCUCUGUAUAUGUAUUUCUCUGAUUUUCCUGAACAUCCAGAGGGCCUAAAGGAAACUGCCUCCAAGACUGACACCUGUCCCCUUAACCAGCUGUGGACACUGGAGUUCCAAACUCUCCAUGAAACGCUCUUGAAGGCAUGGCUCUCUCUGUUCUACUCCCUUCUGCCAUCAAAAGGAUGAGCGUUUUGGACAUCGCUUCACUACAGAGGCUGUCACACGCCAGAGGCUGCUCAGAGGAUCCCAGGCCAUGGCAGAAUUCCAUGGCACCUCCUGGCCUCAGGUGCAGCUCCAGGACAGUUCCCUGUCAUUGCUGAGGUCCUCAGGCACUUUGCUGAUGAGAAGGCUGCUGGCAGUGACACACUGCAGGUUCUGUGAACUCUUAGUGAGGUUGAGAUCAGGCACCACCAGAAGAGCUGGGUGUCUGCAUAGACACAGGAUUUCAUUGCUGCAUGCAAGAAUGAGAUGUUAAAUGUAACUAGUAAUUGUCUCUUAGGCAGCUGCUACAUAUUUCAAAUGCUUCUAGUAAAAGUAUUUCCAGCAGCACUCCUCCUUCCUCUCCUCUUCUUCCCUCAUGAGAGACUGUUGAGCUAUUUCUUUCUUUGAAUUCAACCUAAAACAUAAAGAGAGUGAUGUUGGUCCACUCUAGACUGAAAGAAAACUUACUGUGUGCUGUCUUCCUCUUCAGCAAGAUCAUAUUUUUCAACAGAACAACA
This is a long non-coding RNA of Prinia subflava (tawny-flanked prinia), 1646 nucleotides long. RefSeq lists it as uncharacterized. Lineage: Eukaryota; Metazoa; Chordata; Aves; Passeriformes; Cisticolidae. The record is from RefSeq and is a predicted model, not a curated record. The transcript is spliced from 3 exons.